Sorex fumeus (smoky shrew) is the source of this 134-nucleotide small nucleolar RNA. RefSeq annotates it as small nucleolar RNA SNORA72. The record is from RefSeq and is a predicted model, not a curated record. NCBI's taxonomy places the organism in Eukaryota, Metazoa, Chordata, Mammalia, Eulipotyphla, Soricidae. The transcript has a single exon.
UCGGAACGAUUCUCUCUGUUCCGAUUUUGUGAUAGUCAGGCAGGCUAAACAUUGCUAUAAUAAGACCAUACAUGCGUCUCUAGAUCUAACUCUUUACCUACUUAGCUCAGGUCUUAGAAAUGCUAGUCACAAUA